UUGGAACGUUACGAUCUGAACUAGACGUCGCCACUGGUAUCAUAGAUGAUCUCGGUCUACCUUUAGUAUUGUGCCAUCACGAUCCAAAUCCGACAAAUAUCAUCUUCAACAAAAAACUAGAUAAGUCUACUUUAGUUGAUUACGACAUCACUGGUUUUGGUUUCGCUGCAUAUGACUUGGCCUACUUUUUAGUGACGGUAGGCCUUGGUGAGUUUUGUUAGACAUCUUCACGAAGCAAUUCAUCGAGACACCAAAUCGAUGCCACUAGUCCCAUAUCACUUUUGUUAGCAAGUUGACCUGGGGAUAUCCAAUACAACGAGUAUCGGUCUGUGUAUCGCUGGUUCAACCCCGUCCGGCUCAAGCAGACGACUCUCCUACACCAAGCCAUGCCAAAACCUACAGGGAGAUGUUCUUCAUUGCAGGUUCGAACCCUGCAGGUCCAGACAGCCCUCGUCGCCAGCCAAAUUACUGGAAAGAUGUUCUUCGCGAGUAUCUCGUAACGAAACGAAGGCCUCAUGACCCCGGAGUAAGCAGUGAUGACGUCACGGUACACGAGAUUGAGAAGCUGUAUGUUCAGGUUCGAAAAGCUUCAAUGGCUGUUAUGCUCCUUUAUGUGUUGCUGUAUCUCAUUGACGCCACCCUGGCAAAAGCGCCGUACGGAUCACCACGUCUUUUUCUCAGGAUGUCAGGGGACCUUUAUACGGAUCGGUAUCUCAAGGAAAAAGGAGAAAUUAUGCAGUUAAAGGUGCCAGAGUGAUACAACUAGGAAGUUUUCAGGAAGUUUGUCACCCCACAGUCAUUGAAGUUCGAAAUCGAGAAGUGAGUUUGUACUUAAUUUCCUUCUCAUCAACCCGAUCAAGGCAUCUGGACUCUCAAGUUUUAGUCUUGGAC
Molecule: long non-coding RNA, 891 nt
Organism: Lineus longissimus
Lineage: Eukaryota; Metazoa; Nemertea; Pilidiophora; Heteronemertea; Lineidae
Exons: 4
Source: RefSeq, a predicted model, not a curated record